RNAcentral lists this ribosomal RNA (637 nucleotides) under uncultured bacterium. RNAcentral's name for it is "bacterial SSU rRNA". It matches the Rfam family "Bacterial small subunit ribosomal RNA", at positions 607 to 1244 of the family's 1533-position model. The record is from RNAcentral.
GCUUAACCGGAGAAGUGCAUCGGAAACUGGGAGACUUGAGUGCAGGAGAGGACAGUGGAACUCCAUGUGUAGCGGUGGAAUGCGUAGAUAUAUGGAAGAACACCAGUGGCGAAGGCGGCUGUCUAGUCUGUAACUGACGCUGAGGCUCGAAAGCAUGGGUAGCGAACAGGAUUAGAUACCCUGGUAGUCCAUGCUGUAAACGAUGAGUGCUAAGUGUUGGAGGGUUUCCGCCCUUCAGUGCUGCAGCUAACGCAUUAAGCACUCCGCCUGGGGAGUACGACCGCAAGGUUGAAACUCAAAGGAAUUGACGGGGGCCCGCACAGGCGGUGUAGCAUGUGGUUUAAUUCGAAGCUACGCGAAGAACCUUACCAGGUCUUGACAUCUUCUGCCAAUCUUAGAGAUAAGACGUUCCCUUCGGGGACAGAAUGACAGGUGGUGCAUGGUUGUCGUCAGCUCGUGUCGUGAGAUGUUGGGUUAAGUCCCGCAACGAGCGCAACCCUUAUUAUCAGUUGCCAGCAUUCAGUUGGGCACUCUGGUGAGACUGCCGGUGACAAACCGGAGGAAGGUGGGGAUGACGUCAAAUCAUCAUGCCCCUUAUGACCUGGGCUACACACGUGCUACAAUGGACGGUACAACG